AAGUCACUAGCGGUGUAAUAAUGUAAUUUCCUUAUCACUAGAUGGCUGUAGGUACAUAGCAUUGCACGUUAAAACAAGAGAAUAGACCUUUUUCACGACAACCGGCAGCUGCAUCUGAAAGGGCUGCAGCACUUCCUGUUUUGGUGACGGUAAUCCAAGUACCCUGAAAAACGUCUCUCCUCCUCCGGUCCUUUUCAUCAUCAUUACUUAAUUUCCCAGCACUUUCUUUCGCUGAUGCGGAGAAAAUUGCAGCGGCGAAUUCGCCCACCAACAAAUAUGUGAAAGGAAACAAGUUCUUCCACAAAGAAUAUAUCCACAGCUAUCAAGGGGAAACAUCCUGAACCUGUCAGCGACCUGGUGGUGUGGAAGCCCAAAACUAUGGGGAAAAGGUAUCUGCACUCCACACUUUACAGAGUUUACACAGGACCACUUCCAGAUCCCGACAAUCUGGCAUCAGGAGAAAAACUUCGCCAGCCGCAGUCCCAACCACUUAUGGCCCUUGGUCUUUCAAAUUUGGAGCUGGUUCCAUCCAGAUUUGGGCCUGUGCCACAGGGCUCACCAAUGUCUCAUCAGUGCCCACCUGACUGGUCCUCUGGUAGCAUCAUUCUGCACCACAUGACUCCAGACUUCCCUUCUCUUCCUUUGAUGCUACGUAGUCUUCCGAAUAUGGGUUUUGUGCCCACACUGGGUCAACUUAUGCAUCUUCAGUCUCUGCAAGCGUCAUUGGAAAUGUUUUAUGAAAUAGAGGCCUGAACAAGAGCAUAUAUGAGAAUAAGAAUUAUUUUCUGUAUUCUGGCUAACAGAAUGCUUGUGGACAGAAUUAGUUUGUAAAAAAAAAAAAACUGAAGUUUUCUACAACCUCUUUAAAUUUAAGACCACAUUGUUGUGCCACUGUUCAGGUGUACUUUUGAAGUGGACAUG
Molecule: long non-coding RNA, 921 nt
Organism: Gambusia affinis (western mosquitofish)
Lineage: Eukaryota; Metazoa; Chordata; Actinopteri; Cyprinodontiformes; Poeciliidae
Exons: 3
Source: RefSeq, a predicted model, not a curated record